This 75-nucleotide transfer RNA is filed under the name Chitinophaga silvatica. Its description in RNAcentral is "Chitinophaga sp. GDMCC 1.1288 tRNA-His". It matches the Rfam family "tRNA". Rfam says of the family: Transfer RNA (tRNA) molecules are approximately 80 nucleotides in length. Their secondary structure includes four short double-helical elements and three loops (D, anti-codon, and T loops). Further hydrogen bonds mediate the characteristic L-shaped molecular structure. tRNAs have two regions of fundamental functional importance: the anti-codon, which is responsible for specific mRNA codon recognition, and the 3' end, to which the tRNAs corresponding amino acid is attached (by aminoacyl-tRNA synthetases). tRNAs cope with the degeneracy of the genetic code in two manners: having more than one tRNA (with a specific anti-codon) for a particular amino acid; and 'wobble' base-pairing, i.e. permitting non-standard base-pairing at the 3rd anti-codon position. The record is from RNAcentral. Lineage: Bacteria; Pseudomonadati; Bacteroidota; Chitinophagia; Chitinophagales; Chitinophagaceae.
GUGCUUAUAGUUCAGUGGUCAGAACUCCCGGUGGUGGGCCGGGUAACAUGGGUUCGAAUCCCAUUAAGCACCCCA